UACGUAGGGCGCAAGCGUUGUCCGGAAUUAUUGGGCGUAAAGAGCUCGUAGGUGGUUUGUUACGUCUGCUGUGAAAACCUAGGGCUUAACCCUGGGCCUGCAGUGGAUACGGGCAGACUAGAGGUAGGUAGGGGAGAAUGGAAUUCCCGGUGUAGCGGUGAAAUGCGCAGAUAUCGGGAGGAACACCGGUGGCGAAGGCGGUUCUCUGGGCCUUACCUGACACUGAGGGGCGAAAGCGUGGGGAGCGAACAGG
RNAcentral lists this ribosomal RNA (253 nucleotides) under uncultured bacterium. Its description in RNAcentral is "partial 16S ribosomal RNA". It matches the Rfam family "Bacterial small subunit ribosomal RNA", at positions 524 to 776 of the family's 1533-position model. The record is from RNAcentral.